CUGGGAGGCUGAUGCAAGAGGAUUGAGAGUUUGAGUCCAGCCUGGGCAAAUAGGCCAAGCAAACAGGCCACUCUCAGCAAACAACAGAAGCCAUCAGGUGAGCAGCUUGCUUUAUCACAUGCUCCCAACCAUGAUGUUCUGCCUCACCACAGGUCUAAAUGCAACAGAACCAACUUACCACGGACUGAAACUUCCAGAACGGUCAUUAGAGCGCGCUGAAUCCAACACGACACAGACACUCCACGAGAGGACCACGUGAGAACACAGGGAGAAGACAGCCAUCUACCAGAGACUCAGGAAAAAACAACCCCUGACACCUUCAUCUUACUUUAACAUUCUGACGUUUGAGAAAAUAAAUUUCUAUUAUUUAAGCCAUUCAUUCUGUGGUACUUUGUU
Long non-coding RNA from Heterocephalus glaber (naked mole-rat), 396 nucleotides. The record is from Ensembl. NCBI's taxonomy places the organism in Eukaryota, Metazoa, Chordata, Mammalia, Rodentia, Bathyergidae.